This 422-nucleotide unclassified non-coding RNA is filed under the name Polyscias australiana. RNAcentral describes it as "partial miscellaneous RNA". The record is from RNAcentral. Lineage: Eukaryota; Viridiplantae; Streptophyta; Magnoliopsida; Apiales; Araliaceae.
UAGCUGCUGUCGAAGCUCCAUCUACAAAUGGAUAAGACCCGGUCUUAAUGUAUACGAGUUCUUUUUGAAAUAAAAAGGAGCAAUAACCUCUUUCUUGUUCUAUCAAGAAGGCGGUAUUGCUCCUUUUUUUAUUUAGUAGUAUUUGACUUACCUAGUUUCUUUAAAUAAGUUUAAAGAAACGUCGUUUUCUUUUUAUCGGUUGGUUCAUGAGUGAGUAUCAUGCUUUCGUUCUGUAUUAAUCAUUAAUUAGCCAUUUCUUCCCAUUGGGAAGUCUUUUUUUAAAGAAAAAAUAAAAAUGUUGGACUUUUUACUUAGUUAMUACUUAAUAUUUUYAUCUCGAAAAAAAGAAAGAUAAGAAAGAAAUAACGAUGAAUGGUAAAAAUUUAAUCUUUUGAAAGGAAAAGAAUAAUAGGGGGGCGGAU